GAAAAGCUGCACCUUGGGGAAAAGAUUGUGGAGGCCUGAUAAACACUACACAAUGUUGCCUUGGAUAUCGAUGGAAUUCUGAAAUUGCUUCCUGUGAAGUAUGCAAGAUUGGUACCUUUGGAUUUAAUUGUGAACACACAUGUCCGUAUCCUCACUAUGGAGAGGAAUGUCAGUCUGUGUGUCAUUGUCAAGAAAAUAAAUGCAGUUUCAA
Saccostrea cuccullata (small rock oyster) is the source of this 211-nucleotide long non-coding RNA. RefSeq lists it as uncharacterized. The transcript has 3 exons. Lineage: Eukaryota; Metazoa; Mollusca; Bivalvia; Ostreida; Ostreidae. The record is from RefSeq and is a predicted model, not a curated record.